RNAcentral lists this ribosomal RNA (1181 nucleotides) under Mucilaginibacter sp. RNAcentral describes it as "bacterial SSU rRNA". It matches the Rfam family "Bacterial small subunit ribosomal RNA", at positions 157 to 1342 of the family's 1533-position model. Lineage: Bacteria; Pseudomonadati; Bacteroidota; Sphingobacteriia; Sphingobacteriales; Sphingobacteriaceae. The record is from RNAcentral.
GAGAGAUUAAGACCGCAUAACAUAUUGAAGUGGCAUCGCUUUGAUAUCAAAUAUUUAUAGGACUAAGAUGGGCAUGCGCAACAUUAGCUAGUUGGUGUGGUAACGGCAUACCAAGGCGACGAUGUUUAGGGGAUCUGAGAGGAUGACCCCCCACACUGGUACUGAGACACGGACCAGACUCCUACGGGAGGCAGCAGUAAGGAAUAUUGGUCAAUGGACGGAAGUCUGAACCAGCCAUGCCGCGUGCAGGAAGACGGCCCUACGGGUUGUAAACUGCUUUUGCAGGGGAAUAAACCUCGAUACGUGUAUCGAGUUGAAUGUACCUUGAGAAUAAGGAUCGGCUAACUCCGUGCCAGCAGCCGCGGUAAUACGGAGGAUCCAAGCGUUAUCCGGAUUUAUUGGGUUUAAAGGGUGCGUAGGCGGCUUUUUAAGUCAGGGGUGAAAGACGGUAGCUCAACUAUCGCAGUGCCCUUGAUACUGAAGAGCUUGAAUGUACUUGAGGUAGGCGGAAUGUGACAAGUAGCGGUGAAAUGCAUAGAUAUGUCACAGAACACCAAUUGCGAAGGCAGCUUACUAAAGUAUGAUUGACGCUGAGGCACGAAAGCGUGGGGAUCAAACAGGAUUAGAUACCCUGGUAGUCCACGCCCUAAACGAUGAACACUCGAUGUUGGCGAUAUACGGUCAGCGUCUAAGCGAAAGCGUUAAGUGUUCCACCUGGGGAGUACGCCCGCAAGGGUGAAACUCAAAGGAAUUGACGGGGGCCCGCACAAGCGGAGGAGCAUGUGGUUUAAUUCGAUGAUACGCGAGGAACCUUACCCGGGCUUGAAAGUUAGUGAAUGUGACAGAGACGUCACAGUUCUUCGGAACACGAAACUAGGUGCUGCAUGGCUGUCGUCAGCUCGUGCCGUGAGGUGUUGGGUUAAGUCCCGCAACGAGCGCAACCCCUAUGUUUAGUUGCCAGCAUUUAAGGUGGGGACUCUAAACAGACUGCCUAUGCAAAUAGAGAGGAAGGAGGGGACGACGUCAAGUCAUCAUGGCCCUUACGUCCGGGGCUACACACGUGCUACAAUGGAUGGUACAGAGGGCAGCUACCUGGCAACAGGAUGCCAAUCUCUUAAAGCCAUUCACAGUUCGGAUCGGGGUCUGCAACUCGACCCCGUGAAGUUGGAUUCGCUAGUAAU